This 301-nucleotide ribosomal RNA is filed under the name uncultured bacterium. Its description in RNAcentral is "partial 16S ribosomal RNA". It matches the Rfam family "Bacterial small subunit ribosomal RNA", at positions 509 to 807 of the family's 1533-position model. The record is from RNAcentral.
CAGCCGCCGCGGGAAUACGAGGGGGGCAAGCGUUGUUCGGAAUUAUUGGGCGUAAAGGGUGCGUAGGCGGUUCAGCAAGUCUCGUGUGAAAUCUUCGGGCUCAACCCGAAGUCUGCACGGGAAACUACUGGGCUUGAGUAAUGGAGAGGUGAGUGGAAUUUCCGGUGUAGCGGUGAAAUGCGUAGAUAUCGGAAGGAACACCUGUGGCGAAAGCGGCUCACUGGACCAUAACUGACGCUGAGGCACGAAAGCUAGGGGAGCAAACAGGAUUAGAUACCCGCGUAGUCCCUGUCUCUUAUAC